UAGUAUAGUUUAACAAAAACAUUAGGCUGUGGCCCUAAAAAUAGAAGCUCGCCUCUUC
Molecule: transfer RNA, 58 nt
Filed under: Phrynosoma taurus
Lineage: Eukaryota; Metazoa; Chordata; Lepidosauria; Squamata; Phrynosomatidae
Description: tRNA-His
Source: RNAcentral